Non-coding RNA from Gymnothorax javanicus (giant moray), 73 nucleotides. The record is from the annotation of a GenBank genome assembly. NCBI's taxonomy places the organism in Eukaryota, Metazoa, Chordata, Actinopteri, Anguilliformes, Muraenidae.
GUUUCUGUAGUGUAGUGGUUAUCACAUUCGCCUCACACACGAUAGGUUCUCAUUUUGAUACCACGUGGAAACA